RNAcentral lists this long non-coding RNA (392 nucleotides) under Marmota monax (woodchuck). The record is from RNAcentral. Lineage: Eukaryota; Metazoa; Chordata; Mammalia; Rodentia; Sciuridae.
CUUGUUAAGUUGAUUAAGGAUUAAGAACUUGCUAAAUUGCUGAGGCUGUCCUUGAACUUGCAAUCUUUCUACCUUAGCUUCAGAGCUGCUGGGACUAUAGGCAUGAGCCACUAUGCCUGAAUUGCGAUUUAUAUUUCUUUUUUUUUUGGUUGGGGGGAACAUUGGAAUUGAACCAAGAGCACUUAACCACUGAACCACAUCCCCAGCACUUAAAAAAAAAAAAAAAUUUUUUUUUUUUGUAGUUGUAGAUGGACAGCAUGCCUUUAUUAUUUUUAUGUGGUGCUAAGGAUUGAACCCAGUGCCUCACAUGUGCUUGGCAAGCACUCUGUCACUGAGCUACAGCCCCAGCUGCCCCAGCACUUUUCAUUUUUUAUUUAGAGACAAGUUCUCAG